GAUGAACGCUGGCGGCGUGCUUAACACAUGCAAGUCGAACGAAGCACUUGAGAUUGAUUCUUCGGAAGAUUUCUCUUGUGACUUAGUGGCGGACGGGUGAGUAACGCGUGGGUAACCUGCCUCACACAGGGGGAUAACAGUUGGAAACGACCGCUAAUACCGCAUAACCCGCUAGGGCCGCAUGGCCCGGACGGAAAAGAUUUAUCGGUGUGAGAUGGACCCGCGUUGGAUUAGCUAGUUGGCGGGGUAACGGCCUACCAAGGCGACGAUCCAUAGCCGGCCUGAGAGGGUGAACGGCCACAUUGGGACUGAGACACGGCCCAAACUCCUACGGGAGGCAGCAGUGGGGAAUAUUGCACAAUGGGGGAAACCCUGAUGCAGCGACGCCGCGUGAGUGAAGAAGUAUUUCGGUAUGUAAAGCUCUAUCAGCAGGGAAGAAAAUGACG
RNAcentral lists this ribosomal RNA (446 nucleotides) under uncultured bacterium. RNAcentral's name for it is "bacterial SSU rRNA". It matches the Rfam family "Bacterial small subunit ribosomal RNA", at positions 28 to 456 of the family's 1533-position model. The record is from RNAcentral.